CCAUGGGUAUAUUGUGUCUUUCUUUAGGUUUAAUCCUAUCUCUAGCAAAUGUUCGGUCUCAGAUUUCUGUUUCACUUUCAGUCCCUGAGAUAGUGAAGGUGACAGAAUCAGUCCUGCUGGUUUGUAAAGUCACCGGUGCUUCAAUCACCGAUAGCAGUAAGAUCCCCGCUGUGAACUUCGUUAAGCAACUUUUAGAUGGCAACCUGGUGUUUUUGGCUCAUCUUAAUUAUGCUCAGGGCACAGCAUACAACCCCACAUUACAGAAUAGGCUCACCCUGUCCAGAGACACAGCCAGAAAUGAGGCAUAUCUGCAAAUAAGAGACAUGAAACCAGAAGACACAGCAGUAUAUUACUGUGCAGGGCAAAGUACACAGUGUGUAAAAGGAAGCAAAGACCAGACUUAA
Non-coding RNA from Pelobates fuscus (common spadefoot toad), 404 nucleotides. NCBI's taxonomy places the organism in Eukaryota, Metazoa, Chordata, Amphibia, Anura, Pelobatidae. The record is from the annotation of a RefSeq genome assembly.